GACGGGACCGCACAAGCGGUGGAUGAUGUGGUUUAAUUCGAUGCAACGCGAAAACCUUACCCACCUUUGACAUGUACGGAAGCCUUUAGAGAUAGAGGCGUGCUCGAAAGAGAGCCGUAACACAGGUGCUGCAUGGCUGUCGUCAGCUCGUGUCGUGAGAUGUUGGGUUAAGUCCCGCAACGAGCGCAACCCUUGUCAUUAGUUGCUACAUUCAGUUGGGCAUUCUAAUGAGACUGCCGGUGACAAGCCGGAGGAAGGUGGGGAUGACGUCAAGUCCUCAUGGCCCUUAUAGGUGGGGCUACACACGUCAUACAAUGGCUGGUACAAAGGGUUGCCAACCCGCGAGGGGGAGCUAAUCCCAUAAAGCCAGUCGUAGUCCGGAUCGUAGUCUGCAACUCGACUACGUGAAGUCGGAAUCGCUAGUAAUCGUGGAUCAGAAUGUCACGGUGAAUACGUUCCCGGGUCUU
RNAcentral lists this ribosomal RNA (467 nucleotides) under uncultured Rhodoferax sp. RNAcentral's name for it is "bacterial SSU rRNA". It matches the Rfam family "Bacterial small subunit ribosomal RNA", at positions 917 to 1381 of the family's 1533-position model. Lineage: Bacteria; Pseudomonadati; Pseudomonadota; Betaproteobacteria; Burkholderiales; Comamonadaceae. The record is from RNAcentral.